This 119-nucleotide ribosomal RNA is filed under the name Pteropus alecto (black flying fox). Lineage: Eukaryota; Metazoa; Chordata; Mammalia; Chiroptera; Pteropodidae. The record is from RNAcentral.
GCCGAGGGCCAUGCCGCCCUGAACACCCUCAAUCCCAUCUGAUCUCGGAAGCUAAGCAGGGUCGGGCCUGGUUAGUAUUUGGAUGGGAGACCACCAAGGAAGACCAGGUGCUGUAGGCA